UGGGGAAUUUUGCGCAAUGGGCGAGAGCCUGACGCAGCAACGCCGCGUGGAGGAUGAAGGUCCUUGGAUUGUAAACUCCUGUCAGCAGGGAAAAAGGGAUAGGCGUUAAUACCGCUUAAACUUGAUUGUAGCUGCAGAGGAAGCCCCGGCUAACUCUGUGCCAGCAGCCGCGGUAAUACAGAGGGGGCGAGCGUUAUUCGGAAUUAUUGGGCGUAAAGGGCGCGUAGGCGGCCAUUCAAGUGACGGGUGAAAGCCCUCGGCUUAACCGAGGAACUGCCUGUCAGACUGGGUGGCUUGAGACCGGGAGAGGUGAGUGGAAUUCCCAGUGUAGCGGUGAAAUGCGUAGAUAUUGGGAGGAACACCAGUGGCGAAGGCGGCUCACUGGACCGGAACUGACGCUGAGGCGCGAAAGCGUGGGGAGCAAA
Molecule: ribosomal RNA, 425 nt
Filed under: uncultured bacterium
Lineage: Bacteria
Description: bacterial SSU rRNA
Rfam family: Bacterial small subunit ribosomal RNA
Source: RNAcentral